GAUGUGUGUGUGCGUGCGUGUGUGAGUGUGUGUGCGCGCGCCCCGGGGGCAGGGAGGCGGGGGGCUGCGGCGGGCGGCGGAGCGCGGGGGCUGGUUCCUGGUCCCCGGGAGAAGCCAAGAAGAUCUCGUCCCGGAUGAGAUUCAGCGGUUCCCCACUCUAGGUGACCUUGGGCAAAGCCCCUCUCCUCUCAUUACGGAACGCAUGCUCUGUGCCAGACACUGUGUUUAAAACCCUGGGAUUACCACCACGAGAGAUAGAAUGGCAGCUUGGCUUGGAUGAUGGCCCAAGCCAUCAGAUCAGGAGAACCUAAAAGAAACACUGAACCACACCGAUUCCCUGCAGCCUGCCAGGGACGUGGUAGCUGCCCUGCCAAGAGCUAUCCUGGGAGGGCUAUUGAAAGAGCUUUGAGCACUUGAGCGGCUCUGCACCCAGCAUUUGGAUGGAGAAAGGGAUAGGCGAGAAAGGCAAGUGUCUACCCACAGAAGAGAAUUCAGGAAUGCUUGCAGCAAGAGUCCUGGUUGCCAUGCAGUGGCAUUCGAAACGACCACAACUCUGCAUUCCAUCUUUGAUAAAAAUAAGUUGCUACUUCUAAACAAAACUGCCUGGUUGGUUUCUAGCCAAGCUGGGACCUCGAACUGCAAAUCGCCGGUGAAGGUGGAAAAACAGAAACUUUUCAGCAUUGGCUCAUAGCAGGGUGUAAUGCUUUCUGCUUCCCCCCAGCCCUUUGGAAAACUUGACCACAGCCAGUGGGACCAAGGGAAUGUGCACUUUUCUAAUGGGCCCCAAAAGAGGAUGGUUGCCAGGAAAGCCUUUCCCAUGGGGCGGGGGCAGGGCACCGGGGACAGCU
Kogia breviceps (pygmy sperm whale) is the source of this 848-nucleotide long non-coding RNA. RefSeq lists it as uncharacterized. Lineage: Eukaryota; Metazoa; Chordata; Mammalia; Artiodactyla; Physeteridae. The record is from RefSeq and is a predicted model, not a curated record.